This 106-nucleotide ribozyme is filed under the name Aedes aegypti (yellow fever mosquito). RNAcentral's name for it is "drz-agam-1 ribozyme". It matches the Rfam family "drz-agam-1 ribozyme". Lineage: Eukaryota; Metazoa; Arthropoda; Insecta; Diptera; Culicidae. The record is from Rfam by way of RNAcentral.
UGCCCAGCAACUCCUAUCCCUACCUCCUCGUGGUACUGGCCGAGGUACGAAUAACCUUGGGGAACCAAUCCCGGUGAGAACUUUGGUCGAAUGCUGACAGGGGACG